CAUUCAAGGUCAUCCAGAGAUGGACUUGGGGGGACGAUGAUAGCCCCCCAUUCAAGGUCAUCCAGAGAUGGACUUGGGGGGACGAUGA
This is a long non-coding RNA of Protopterus annectens (West African lungfish), 88 nucleotides long. RefSeq lists it as uncharacterized. The transcript has 2 exons. NCBI's taxonomy places the organism in Eukaryota, Metazoa, Chordata, Ceratodontiformes, Protopteridae. The record is from RefSeq and is a predicted model, not a curated record.